UCGGGCACCGCUAAGCUCCGCUCCGCUUCAGUGGAAACGCAGCCUAACCAAUGAGGCAAAAGAUAACCGUGUAAACGUCCCCGUAUGCGCAGCUCAAAGUAUAGUUCAUAUCAUUGCGCCAUCCAUACAGAUGCUAUUUUAGAUAUCGCCUAAAAGCCUUAACGAAACACAGCCAGCCGCUUUAGAUAUAGUCUUUAGGUAAAGGUAAACACGCACAGGUAAUCAUGGUCGAGAAAGUAUUUUUGUAACGUCAAGUAGUGUUUUAUAAAAAAAUUCGUAGCUCGCUACCACUCCGAAGUGUGGUAGUAUCGAAAUCGUAGAAUUUUUGAAUGUUUAAAAAAAUAUAGAGUAUAGUGGAAAUUUUUAACUUAAUUCCUAUCGCCUUAUUAUCUUUUAUGUCAAAGUCAUCCAAACCCUCCGAAGAAAAAUCGGCCUUCGCCUCUGGUAUACAAUUUUUGUACGAGGUCUUUAAAAUGGUUCUAAAAUGGUAACAAACAUAGAGGUUCAAAAUUAUUGUGUUUUAUUCUCCACACUUGUACCUACUAAUAUUGUAAUUUAUUUUUUAAUUAAACAUAAUGUAUAGCUUACAGCUAUAAAGCUGUAUAUUGCUUCUAGAAAAAUUUUAGUAGAUACUUAUUAUUAUCUUUCACUUCUCUAGUCUACAGGGUGCUACAAAACGCGCACGGUUGCAAGCUAAUUGCAAGAAAAUGAUAGUAACACUGAUGGAUAGGAUCAUAAAGGCUCGCACACAGGCGCGUUAUUAAUAUCGCAAUAACGCAUGCAUUAUUGCGAUAUCUGUUUUCAGUACAUUUUGUAUUAGGAUUUAGGAUGGUCAAUGGUCAUGUAGUUACACACUGCUGCGAUAAUAACGCCGCAAUGGAAGUAUAAUAUCGCAAUAACGCAAUUUUCUUGCAUACCUGAGAGAGAUGGUAUAAUAGUGCCGUCGCGGCGCGGCGCUCUCUCUUAAGAAUUAACAGACGAUUAAAACGCAGGUGUGUGCAAGGAAUCGGGACGCAUUAUCGCAAUACCGCAUGCGUUUUUAUCGACCGAUAAUAAUGCGCCUGUGUGCGGAAGCCUAAACAGUUACUUAUAUCUCCAAGUUUUAAGGAGACCACAUUGCCCACAUAAUUUUAGUUGGCCCUUUAAAUUUUUUUUCUGAAAUAGAAGCGAUGGCACAUGCCACGAAAAUCUAUUCCUAGUUAUUUCUUAUGGAUAAAAUUCCUCUAUAAAUUUACGUAUUUUUGUUUUAAUUUAGUCAUUAGGUAUCUUAUUUAAAGUUAACAAACAUCACGUUUACCAAUUAUUAACCAAAACAUUAUUGUUCCCAUUUUUAUAAAUUUUAUAUAAAAUGUUGUGCCCCUAAAUUGUUUUAGGCUAAUAUAUACGAUGUUUUAAUAGUUAUUAUGAUUACGGUUGUAACUCGGUUAAUUUAAUUCUAGAUUUGUUGCAUUAUUUAGGUACAUUAAUUAUUAGUAUACCCCAACUAACUGUAAAUUUUAAUAUGCCAAAAACUUCGCAGAAUCGGGAAGUUUUUUAUUAAAAUAUGUUAUCUAGGUGAACACUUUUUUCAAUUUCAAUUAAUGUCAAGCCUAAUACGCCUAACUAGAUACAUAAAUGAGCUAGUUUGGCCUAAUUCAAGAUAAAAG
Aricia agestis (brown argus) is the source of this 1646-nucleotide long non-coding RNA. RefSeq lists it as uncharacterized. The transcript has 2 exons. The record is from RefSeq and is a predicted model, not a curated record. Lineage: Eukaryota; Metazoa; Arthropoda; Insecta; Lepidoptera; Lycaenidae.